GUACCUAUAGUAUAUUGUGUAUAUCCGCCUUCCAAGCGGAUGGUCGGCUGGUGCCGUGGGUAUA
Molecule: transfer RNA, 64 nt
Filed under: Nuttallia olivacea
Lineage: Eukaryota; Metazoa; Mollusca; Bivalvia; Cardiida; Psammobiidae
Description: tRNA-Gly
Source: RNAcentral